CCUUCUUCUUCUCUUCCCUCUUCAUCACUUAAGGCCACAUUCUAGAGUUACCAAAAUUUGCCAGCAUUUCCAAGGAUCCGGAUAUCUGACACUAUGUGACUGGAGGGGCUGAAUGAGUCAGAUAAUCACAAUCUGGCCUUUUGGAUACCAUCUAGAGAGCUUUCAGGACAUCCAUUUAUCUUUGGACGAAGCAUCAUCCUCUCAUUAAUCAGCUGAAGAGAUCCAAGAUAUAAUGAUUAGAGAAGCAGUGAUGCACAGUGAAUAGAGAGCUGGCUUUGUGGUCAUGAAGACUUGGGAUAGGUCUAAUCCCUGAUACCUCCUAGAUGCAUGACCCUGGGUAAGUCAUUUAAUUU
Molecule: long non-coding RNA, 353 nt
Filed under: Monodelphis domestica (gray short-tailed opossum)
Lineage: Eukaryota; Metazoa; Chordata; Mammalia; Didelphimorphia; Didelphidae
Description: lncRNA (ENSMODG00000041689.1)
Source: RNAcentral